This 216-nucleotide ribosomal RNA is filed under the name Glomeromycotina sp. RNAcentral's name for it is "partial small subunit ribosomal RNA". The stretch from base 40 to 216 matches the Rfam family "Eukaryotic small subunit ribosomal RNA", at positions 686 to 864 of the family's 1831-position model. Lineage: Eukaryota; Fungi; Glomeromycota. The record is from RNAcentral.
GGGUCAGUAGGUUGGUCGUGCCACCGGUACGUACUGGUCUCACUGAUUCCUCCUUCCUGAAGAACCGUAAUGCCAUUAAUUUGGUGUUGCAGGGAAACAGGACUGUUACUUUGAAAAAAUUAGAGUGUUUAAAGCAGGCUAACGCUUGAAUACAUUAGCAUGGAAUAAUGAAAUAGGACGAUCGAUCCUAUUUUGUUGGUUUCUAGGAUUGACGUA